This is an RNA transcript of Cryptotermes secundus, 2933 nucleotides long. It is a transcript of the gene named WSC domain-containing protein 2-like, with no coding region annotated. NCBI's taxonomy places the organism in Eukaryota, Metazoa, Arthropoda, Insecta, Blattodea, Kalotermitidae. The transcript has 8 exons. The record is from RefSeq and is a predicted model, not a curated record.
AGUUCCUGCCAAGAGUGAAAGAGGUUGGAGUGGGGUGCGAGAGGGGGAUAUUGCGGCAGAGCGCCCCCUGGCACAACCUCCGCAUCUCCACAAUACGACACACCAGUCAAGGCGCACGUGACACAACAAUGGUUUCGGGGCCCCUCACGUAACGUAGCAGCAAGGCAUCACCAUGAGCCCAUUCCUGAAGGUGAUGCAACUGUUCCUGAUGAUGACAGCAACAGUGCUGGGGAUGUUGGUACUCCUGCUAGUGACACCUGACCUGGAGGAAACCAUGCUGAGGGUAGUUAGACACUACACUACCCCACGCUACAGAGUGCCCACACAAAACAAUAUCAUCACAGUAGAGCCACAGUUGGAUCCACAUGUACCAGGUAUAUCUAUGGGCAUAGAAGUUGAUAGGAACAGAAAGACGUUUGUUCCAUGGCCUUCCUCUGAAGAAUGCAGUCGCUAUCGCAUUCACUUUGCAAGACAGAAAUCACUACCCAUGACCGCUCUGGUCUCCUUCCCUGGAAGUGGUAAUACAUGGGUCCGCUAUCUUCUGGAAACAGCAUCUGGUGUAUUCACUGGAAGUGUUUACAUUGAUCGGAGGAUUAUAAGCAAAGGUUUCUAUGGGGAGGCUGUUCCUCCAGACUGUGGCUGCACAGCAGUACAGAAGACACAUGGGUUUGCACUGGAGGGUUCUGUUCCUGCAAGGUUGGCCCAGCGUACAGCAGAAGUAAAACUCUUCCGAGGUCGGGGAAUACUACUUCUGAGGAACCCAUAUGAGGCUCUUCUCUCCUAUCGAAACUUUUUGUAUGGAGGUCACACUGGUUUUGCUCCCCAUAGUCAAUUCAAAGGGCCAGAAUGGGAAAGGUUUGCUUCUCAGUUGGCUGUGGUGUGGAAGGAGUUAGCUGCUACAUGGAUCAACUAUACCAGAGGACACGAAGCAAUGGUUCUACACUUUGAGACACUUCGUCUUAAUCCACAUCAUGACCUUAGCAGACUGCUGGAUUAUUUAGGCAUUUCUGUGGAUGAACAGAGGAUUGGCUGUGUUCUGAAUCACAUAGAUGGUCCAUUUAGGAGACCACAAUCUUCACAGAAAUUACUUUUCAGUAGCAGGGACCCAUUCUCUGAGAAACUACACAGGAUUUUAGAUGCAGUAAUUCAUGACCUGGACAGUAUGCUGGAGAAGCGUGGGUGGGACCGGAUACCAAUCCAUCUGUACAAGUUCUACAAACAGAACUCAACAUAGCUCAGGAUCCCAUUGCCCAUAAAGUGCCUAGGAUGAGAUCCUGCCAUUACAGAAGUAGGCAACAGGAAGAGUUGCUGUGAAUUAUUGCUGUUAUAUUUAUAUUCCUUGAGAAACAUAACAUUGAGGAAAGGGUUGGAAAUGUCAGCAAUGGGAGUACUAAUUUGCACAAAAAAAAAAGACACAUUGAGAAAUCUUGACCAUCUUGACCAUACUGUAAGGAAUUAUUUUUUGAGUUCCAAAAAAAGACAACAUACUAUAAAGCAUAGAAAUUUUUAAAAUGUAUUUUUCUCAGAAUGUUAUUGAAUAUAAACAGAUUACAUCACAGCUGUGGGAAUUAUGUCAGAUAGUUAAGUUGACCUGAAAUAUGUUUGCCUGAACUGGUGGAUGAUUCUUGGUGGAGCAGUUAGAAGGGUGAGAAAGCUUAGUGUUGAUGAAAAUUGCAUGAAAUAUCCAUCUCUCAGGCAGGGUAUUUGUUAGUGACCAAGACGGCUGAGACCACAAACUUCAUGCCCUAAUGGCUAUGGCAACUAGGGUGAGCUAAAAUAUGUUGAAAUAAUAAUCUAUUUAAUGCCUAUCUGACAUUGCACACUAAUAUACCCAGUUCAAGAUUUCUCUGAUAAAAUGUUUAGUCCUAAACACCUGACUACAAUACGUACAACAUCACACUUUGUAUUAUUUUGCUUUUUUAUCAUAAAAUUUUAGUCAUGUGUCAAUUUAUAGCUGAAAUUUUAUUCAUAAACUUAAACGUUUUUACAAAAGUAAACAUCGGCCAUUCCAAAAUCAAGUACCUGAUAGAAGACUUCUAUGUUAAAUUCUGCUGUAUUUCCUGUUAUUCGGCAUUGCUCACAUCUGCACUCUCCAAAAGCAUGACAGAUCUUCACUAUUCAGACACUAAUAUUUUCUCAUCUUUAUGUUACUAUUCCAUUUUAAAGUGUCUUCUAGAAAAUAUAUCACUGAAAUAUAACAGGGACAAUAUGAAGAAAAUUAGUUUUAUUGUGUGGGAAAAUAACAUUGACAAUUUGGAUUUUAUAGCAGUACAAUACAGCAUGAACUUAUGUAACAAUAAUUUUCAGUUCCUUGGCUUUCAUCGCCUUCUGAGUUUCUCAUUAACAUUUGAAAUUCUUGUACUAUUCAGAUAUAUUCUGUGGUCAUAUUUUCAUUUUCUAAACUAUGUUUCUUUACCUGAUCAUCAACUUGGAGAGGCUCUCUGUCACAGUCUCAAAGUUUUGUUCAUAGAUUCAUCUCUGAAUAACUGAUGUCUUGAGGAUGUGUGGCAUCAUCUUGAGUGUCAGAAAGGAGAUGGACUCUUAGCUUUUAGGGUAUAGUUCUGAAAGUGCAGUGAUAUUUAUUGAGAUAAUCUUUCACCCUAGAAGUAGUAUGUGAUGAGUUUCCAGCAGAUUAGACUGUUCUGAAUGUGUUUAUUUACCUUAAAAGAGUUGAAUAUUGUCAGCUUUAUUUUAUGGAAAAAUAAGUUGUUCUUAUCAGUCAAUACAGUAAUUUACACUGUCACCUGCCUGCUUAAGUUGUUUGUGUUGUGACUGAUCAAAUCUUGUAAGAUAAGAGUUAGCAAACAAAAUUUAUAAAGCAAUAUUUUAUAAUAGAUAAUAAUAGGUACUACUAAUAAACAUGAGAAACUGAUACUAUUCGUGUAAGAUUUGACGCUUUCACGGCGGUGACUAUGAAGAAAGCAGUCUUAUGG